RNAcentral lists this small RNA (29 nucleotides) under Bombyx mori (domestic silkworm). RNAcentral's name for it is "ovarian small RNA-35516". Lineage: Eukaryota; Metazoa; Arthropoda; Insecta; Lepidoptera; Bombycidae. The record is from RNAcentral.
UGUAUGUGUUUGAUAAUAAUUUUUCUUGC